UUCAGUUUCAAAACCUGAUGUGAUCUCCCAGCUGGAACAAGCGGAAGAACCAUGGGUCCCAGACCUCCAGGGUUCAGAGGAAAGAGAGAUCCUGAGAUCUCCCUGCACAGCAGGUGAUGCAAUAGUAUGUGAAAAAGAGGAGCAGAAUUCGCAGCACGAAAAUGUUGAGCAAGUGGAUAAACACAGGGAAUUAUCGCAAAGACCGAAAAGGAAUGUGUCCACGAGUCAUGAACAGGUACAAUCCUGUGAGAUUCAGCACAGACCAGAAAAGCAGCAGGGAAACCAACCACGGGAAAAAGUGGGUAAAUUUAUUUCCUAUCGAAGGAUAUCAAGGAAACCACAACACAACAGGAAAUCUUCAGGGGAAAGAGGAAAAAAUACAUGCAGUGAAUGUGGGAAAAACUUAUGUUACUACUUAGCCCUUAUAAAGCAUCAGAAAAUUCACACAGAUGAGAAACCCUGUGAAUGAAGUGAGUGUGGGAAAACCUUUAGUCAAUGCUCAAUCCUUGUUAGGCAUCAGAGAAUCCACACAGGGGAGAGGCCCUAUGAAUGCAGUGAGUGUGGGAAAAACUUCACUCAAAGAUCAAGACUUCUUAGUCAUCAGAGAAUCCACAUAGGGAAGAGGCCCUAUGAAUGCAGUGAGUGUGGGAAUACCUUCUUGGCACUCAGCCCAUGUUAGCCAUCAGAGAAUCUGCAAGGGAGAUCAAGACCAUACAAAACUCUAGGGGUAUCAAGACUUUUUUUUUCUUUAAUACUUUGGCUGAUUCCCACAUAGAAACUUUUAAAGCUGUUUGAACUGUUUGUAGCACCCUUAUCCCUCAGCUUGUCCAGAUGAGUGGCCCAUUUUUGCUUUUUGCAGUUCACCCUGUUUUGAUGUGGACACAUUUGUCCGUUUUAUCAACACCAUUGUCCCAUGCGUAAUUCGAGUGUGUCCUUCCUAUCAGGAGCCAGGGGGCAUCACAUUUAUACCAUUCCUCCUAUUACAAAGUUAUUGUUAGAGUAAUCAAUGAUACAGAUUGUAUCAUUGCCAGUUGUUCUCAUGUUGCUCUAGGUUGUGUGGAAGAGCAAUUAUAUUGGGACCUUUUCAAAUUAUAUUAUUUAAACGAAGAGGAGUAGGGGUAGGAAAGUGUCAUUUCAGCCUCUGUGACACUGGAAAGAGAUGGGGUGUCUCAGAGAUUCCUUCCUUCCCCAUAACUGCAGAACUGUUACCUUUUGUCUGAGCUAUUGUGGAAGUAGAGAAAGAAUCCUGUCGGGUCUGUGGGGAGGAUGCAUGUGAGAUUGGGUAAUUCACAGAGACAUUUGGGAAAUUAGACCACCUGGUGAGCCUAAUCAAUUUUUAGUCAGUGCUCCUGGGAUAACACCCGACAUUUGGAUGGGGUUAGGGAAUCAAUGGACAUUUUGGCAGUUAGAACCUCCACAGCUUCAGUGUGUACGUAAACUGAAGCCAGGGGAAGUUGUCACUGUUCAUGACUACGUUUGCUGGGAGGGUAGGGGACAAGGAAUUACCCUGACAGGACACCUACUUUUCCAAUCUAAUGAUAGCUGUGUGUAUGUUGAAGCCACCAUGUUGCGAGAUAUACAUUUUAAUCUCACUACUGCUGCAGGCAGUCAAAUUAUUUACUGGCCUGUGCAUAGAAUUUUACAAGUAGCCCUUAGGUUUCAGAUGCCCUUUAAUUGGACUAGUUUAGUACCUGAUCAGUUUCAAAUUUUGCUUUCACUGCUACCAGAGGUUCAUCCGAAGAAGUGGGCUGUAGUCCACGAAAGCUUAUGCUCUAAUAAAUUUGUUAGUCUCUAAGGUGCCACAAGUACUCCUGUUCUUCUUUUUGCGGAUACAGACUAACACGGCUGUUACUCUGAAACUUGAAUUACAAGGGCAAAUUCAUAUGCUUUAAAAUAUAUAUCAAGUUGAAAAGUAUGCCUUUCAUACAGCUUAAAGAGUGUCUAUUUUAUGUACCAAGUAUGAUGUAUUGUGCUUUGUGACUGAAACUGUACAACAACCCCAUCAUAUUAUUACUGUGGGAAUGUUACUGCUUUUAUUGUUAUUUGGUUUAGGAUUAUGUUAUUGUUGUUGUAAAGGACUUGAUAAUAGUAAUACCUUUCAUGUCCAUGCUAAUCAUGCAUUGUCAUUGCAUCCAAUCAAAACCCCUAAGGUUGAAGCAUUUGAUGUAGAAUCUGAAAUCCAAGGCUUGGUGCAAAUGGAGAUUUAAGGAUGUUAGUUGUGCUAGAAGCACAAAAGUGGGGGGAAGUAGAGAAAGAACUGACAGGGAUUUCAAGGGGAUUUCAAUGCAAACAGUCCCUUCUGUGAGCAAGAGUCAGGCUAGCUGUAACCCUAAUAACACGAGAUUUGUAGACUGUGUGAGGCGAGUGGGAAAGAACUGUGUGAGAAGUUCUUGCAACCUUGUGUUAGAUAAGUAUGGCAUGUAGACUAUAGUCUAAUAAGAGGUAAGAAAAAUAAGAUAUCAGGAUGACCUAUGUAUAAACAAAAUGCAGCUGUUGCUCAUUAUUGUAUGUAACAAAAAGUAUAAAUGCUUGCUGUAAUUGUUUACCUGUAAAGAGACCUGUUUAGCUCUCUCCCUCCACACAAUUGCUAGAGAUAAUAAAGUAUCUGACUUCCUGCACCUGA
This is a long non-coding RNA of Malaclemys terrapin pileata, 2623 nucleotides long. RefSeq lists it as uncharacterized. The transcript has 2 exons. Lineage: Eukaryota; Metazoa; Chordata; Testudines; Emydidae. The record is from RefSeq and is a predicted model, not a curated record.